Mauremys reevesii (Reeves's turtle) is the source of this 1796-nucleotide long non-coding RNA. RefSeq lists it as uncharacterized. NCBI's taxonomy places the organism in Eukaryota, Metazoa, Chordata, Testudines, Geoemydidae. The record is from RefSeq and is a predicted model, not a curated record. The transcript has 3 exons.
GUGGUUAGAGAGAGAUGGGCCUGGCUGCUUAGACGCUAAGAUAAGUACCUAGGGUGAAGCAGGACGGGAAAAAGGCUGAGGGGCUGGGGAAAGCUCCAGCCUAGGAAAGCCCCAGGCCGGCGGCCUAGUACAGGGCUAAGAGGUACUGGGGUUUGCAGGGGGCAACCUAAGGAUAGGCAAAGCAGCAGGUCCGAACCCCGUUGCCGGUGAUGAGAAGGCUGAUACUGCAGUCUGUCCCAGGAUAUGGGGCUCGAUAGUGACUGAGCAGUAGCCAUUCUGAGGCAAGUGGGGAUAGCGUGGUGGCGGGGGUUCCCCUGAGAGGGGGAGACCCAGUUAGAGUAAAAGGGGCACCGGGUCCAGGGAGGGACACGGGGCUGAGAGUAAAGUAGGUGGAUCACCAGCCUGCAGAGGGCGCUCCGGACUGGAAAAGGAGCUAACUUGCGGAGUAACCAGUAGGAGCCGCGACAGGGGGGGAAAAACUGAAAUCUCAGAAUCACAUGGGAUGGACAGACUGUUUCCUUCCCAAGACUGCCUAGCAUCUGCCCCAGUUACUUGAAUUAGGCCUUGUGUAGCUGUCUUUAUUCUCCAUCCUCAAAAGCUGAGUUUUGUGAGGAUGCUGCCACUAGCCAGAGUGUUUGUUCUCUCACCCCAACUAUUGCUCCUUUCAUGUAUACAAAAUUCUCUGGAAUGGCAACCUGUCAACAGAGAGUCAAAGAACUUUAGCACUGCAAAAGUUGAAAUCAGAAUCAUAUGCAUUAAGUGUAAUCCUGCCUGGACAGUCAAAUACUGUUUCAAAAUGACUUCUUGAUGAUACACUAUAAACUUAGAUCUGAUGAAAGAUUAAAGGAAUUGGUUGUAGGGCCAACAUAUUGUGUUCCAAGCAGAAGUACAUGAAAUGUUUAGAUAUCUAUAAAUAUCCCCAGACCUUGUUGUCUUUUCAACUGUUAGACUGUCCUACUAUUUAUAGGGAAAGACGCAACAGUGAAAAUAUAUUAUUGUGCUUAGAAUACUUAUAUUAAUAGUAAUUUUACCUUUUAAAUUUUAUUCUAUCACUUGCUUCACUGUUCAAACAACCUUUAUGCAUUAAAAAAAUCCAUGAAAAAGGCCAUAGUUAGUCUAAAGUUUCACCAUUUGAAUUGCACACUGAGAGUUUGUAUAUUAAUCCAGCUAUUUUGGGUACUUUUAAGAGCUUGAUCCAGCAAACAUUGACUUCAAUAUGGUCUGCCCAUAUAGUCCUUCUUGUAGGAUAGGUUCUGAAGAUUGUUUUAUCUUUCAGAACUUCAAAAUAUGGGGGUAAUGUGGAAAAUUUGGGAUAACUCCUACACUCCCACCACCAGAUAGUGCAAGUCAGAAUACUCUGGGACUUUCCAGAAGAAAAACAAGUGGUGAAUUUGAAAUUUGUUAAAUGAAAUGUGUUUCUAGGCUUAAGCAUAGCUCUCUGUCUUGAAGAAAUAAGUGUCAUCUUGUUAUAAAACUAAGAUAUAGGCUAGGAAGACAGAGCAGAAACUAAGCAAAUGCCUUAGGUGUGGUGGUGGUGGUCACAUUCUGCCAAGCUUUCCUUGCUUUUUCAAGAAAGUUGAUGAUAUAGUUUAAUUUGCCUAAUUUCUGGGGAAACUGUCAACGAGCUACAUUAUGGGGCAAAUUGUACAGCCCUUACUCACACAUAUAAUUCAAAUGGUCACAAUGGGAUUAGUCACAUGAGUAAGGGCUGCAGAUUUUUUUUCUCUUUGGAACGGAGGACGUGGAUGAAUUGAGAUUUGCCAUGGAAUAUUCUUUCAUUAAUCUGUAAGAGAACA